Molecule: ribosomal RNA, 351 nt
Filed under: Xystrocera globosa
Lineage: Eukaryota; Metazoa; Arthropoda; Insecta; Coleoptera; Cerambycidae
Description: SSU rRNA
Rfam family: Eukaryotic small subunit ribosomal RNA
Source: RNAcentral
AGUGGAGCCUGCGGCUUAAUUUGACUCAACACGGGAAACCUCACCAGGCCCGGACACCGGAAGGAUUGACAGAUUGAGAGCUCUUUCUUGAUUCGGUGGGUGGUGGUGCAUGGCCGUUCUUAGUUGGUGGAGCGAUUUGUCUGGUUAAUUCCGAUAACGAACGAGACUCUAGCCUGCUAACUAGGCGUAAUUCGACAUCCCAAAGGCCCGCCGGUUUGGGGUCUCGACUCCUUGCCGCGCGCGGUUUUUACUGUCGGCGUACAAACAAUUCUUCUUAGAGGGACAGGCGGCUUCUAGCCGCACGAGAUUGAGCAAUAACAGGUCUGUGAUGCCCUUAGAUGUUCUGGGCCG